RNAcentral lists this ribosomal RNA (483 nucleotides) under uncultured bacterium. Its description in RNAcentral is "bacterial SSU rRNA". It matches the Rfam family "Bacterial small subunit ribosomal RNA", at positions 30 to 509 of the family's 1533-position model. The record is from RNAcentral.
AUUGAACGCUGGCGGCAUGCCUUACACAUGCAAGUCGAACGGUAACAGGUCUUCGGAUGCUGACGAGUGGCGAACGGGUGAGUAAUAUAUCGGAACGUGCCCAGUCGUGGGGGAUAACGCAGCGAAAGCUGUGCUAAUACCGCAUACGAUCUAUGGAUGAAAGCGGGGGAUCGCAAGACCUCGCGCGAUUGGAGCGGCCGAUAUCAGAUUAGGUAGUUGGUGGGGUAAAGGCCCACCAAGCCAACGAUCUGUAGCUGGUCUGAGAGGACGACCAGCCACACUGGAACUGAGACACGGUCCAGACUCCUACGGGAGGCAGCAGUGGGGAAUUUUGGACAAUGGGCGCAAGCCUGAUCCAGCAAUGCCGCGUGCAGGAUGAAGGCCUUCGGGUUGUAAACUGCUUUUGUACGGAACGAAAAGGCUCUGGUUAAUACCUGGGCUCAUGACGGUACCGUAAGAAUAAGCACCGGCUAACUACGUGCC